GGUGAAAUUGGAUCGUCUGCUAAAUAAGAAUAUCACGAAAUCGAAUUCGCCACGCGGUGCAUUAGCUUAAUAGGUUUUCGUAAUAGGUCUCAUCCUCAUUAACUUCAUACUAAUUUUAAAUCAAAUUAAGGUUUGCAUAUUUAUGCGAUUAAAAUUUCAUUCCGAAAAUGUCCAAAAUGAUGAACUUUAUAAAGAAGCUUUUUUUAGCUGUUGAAGUAGUGCCAAUAGUGGUCUGUUUCUGAAUUCAAAAUCUAUGGCACACCUGGGUGCACAACAAAGGAUUUUAUACUAGAUUGUGAGUGAAUGUGGUCUAGAUCCUGUUUCGAAAAUAACCACCAGACAGAGCAAUUAGCAUUUUGUGGAAAAUCACAGACGCUCAAGGCUUUGUUCCAGUGCAAAUUUGCGGGCGGAUUUGCGUAAGGGUUGUUUGGGCAAAUCUUUUCAUUCGCAUAUCCGUUGCUGCAUUCAUAAAACACACUAAGG
Molecule: long non-coding RNA, 483 nt
Organism: Daphnia pulex (common water flea)
Lineage: Eukaryota; Metazoa; Arthropoda; Branchiopoda; Diplostraca; Daphniidae
Exons: 3
Source: RefSeq, a predicted model, not a curated record